Molecule: ribosomal RNA, 1372 nt
Filed under: uncultured bacterium
Lineage: Bacteria
Description: bacterial SSU rRNA
Rfam family: Bacterial small subunit ribosomal RNA
Source: RNAcentral
GAUGAACGCUGGCGGCGUGCCUAAUACAUGCAAGUCGAGCGAACGGACGAGAAGCUUGCUUCUCUGAUGUUAGCGGCGGACGGGUGAGUAACACGUGGAUAACCUACCUAUAAGACUGGGAUAACUUCGGGAAACCGGAGCUAAUACCGGAUAAUAUUUUGAACCGCAUGGUUCAAAAGUGAAAGACGGUCUUGCUGUCACUUAUAGAUGGAUCCGCGCUGCAUUAGCUAGUUGGUAAGGUAACGGCUUACCAAGGCAACGAUGCAUAGCCGACCUGAGAGGGUGAUCGGCCACACUGGAACUGAGACACGGUCCAGACUCCUACGGGAGGCAGCAGUAGGGAAUCUUCCGCAAUGGGCGAAAGCCUGACGGAGCAACGCCGCGUGAGUGAUGAAGGCCUUCGGAUCGUAAAACUCUGUUAUUAGGGAAGAACAUAUGUGUAAGUAACUGUGCACAUCUUGACGGUACCUAAUCAGAAAGCCACGGCUAACUACGUGCCAGCAGCCGCGGUAAUACGUAGGUGGCAAGCGUUAUCCGGAAUUAUUGGGCGUAAAGCGCGCGUAGGCGGUUUUUUAAGUCUGAUGUGAAAGCCCACGGCUCAACCGUGGAGGGUCAUUGGAAACUGGAAAACUUGAGUGCAGAAGAGGAAAGUGGAAUUCCAUGUGUAGCGGUGAAAUGCGCAGAGAUAUGGAGGAACACCAGUGGCGAAGGCGACUUUCUGGUCUGUAACUGACGCUGAUGUGCGAAAGCGUGGGGAUCAAACAGGAUUAGAUACCCUGGUAGUCCACGCCGUAAACGAUGAGUGCUAAGUGUUAGGGGGUUUCCGCCCCUUAGUGCUGCAGCUAACGCAUUAAGCACUCCGCCUGGGGAGUACGACCGCAAGGUUGAAACUCAAAGGAAUUGACGGGGACCCGCACAAGCGGUGGAGCAUGUGGUUUAAUUCGAAGCAACGCGAAGAACCUUACCAAAUCUUGACAUCCUUUGACAACUCUAGAGAUAGAGCCUUCCCCUUCGGGGGACAAAGUGACAGGUGGUGCAUGGUUGUCGUCAGCUCGUGUCGUGAGAUGUUGGGUUAAGUCCCGCAACGAGCGCAACCCUUAAGCUUAGUUGCCAUCAUUGAGUUGGGCACUCUAAGUUGACUGCCGGUGACAAACCGGAGGAAGGUGGGGAUGACGUCAAAUCAUCAUGCCCCUUAUGAUUUGGGCUACACACGUGCUACAAUGGACAAUACAAAGGGCAGCGAAACCGCGAGGUCAAGCAAAUCCCAUAAAGUUGUUCUCAGUUCGGAUUGUAGUCUGCAACUCGACUACAUGAAGCUGGAAUCGCUAGUAAUCGUAGAUCAGCAUGCUACGGUGAAUACGUUCCCGGGUCU